UUCCCUAUCUGAAGCCCUAGUUGCUGAAGAUCACCGCCAGUCCCCAAAGCUAUUUCCUCUCUCGACUCUCUUUCUCAGUGUCUCGUCACUAUCUCCCACGAGCCCAAGCUCUCGGCAGCUCAUCUCAUCUCAUCUCCGGUCUCUCACCUCUCGUUUCUGGUCUGUCAAGCUCUCGUCAGCUCAAGUUCUCCCUUCCCUGCGCUCGCUUCGACGGCGGCAGAAGCAGACGGAACCGCAUCUGGUCCAUCGGGUGGUGGUAGUCAUCGUCUUCUUGCUUCUCAUGGUCUCGGUCUCGCACCUGGUUUCGAUCUCUCCCUUCCCUGCGCUCUUCGACGCCGGUAGCAGAGGCAACAGAUCCCCAUGGGCUGGUCUUCUCGUCUUCUUGCUUCGAGCCUUGCAGUCAGCCUCUCCCUUGCCAUCAGCUUCUCCUUCGCCAUCAGCUUCCUUCGCGCAACCUUAUUUGGUGACGGAAAUUCUUGUACCAAGUCUGGAAACUGAGUCAAGCCUGCAUCGGAAGGUGUGGACCUAUUUUUUCUUGUUGACUCCAUUGCUCAAAGUUCUCUUGGUUUGAAAGGUGAUGGUGGUGCAUUUUCAUCUGCUAUGCAAGCUGUCCUCUCACGCUUAUUGUCUGCUGCUGCUCCUCUUGGACAUACUACGCAAGAAAAUCGCAGGCAGUGUCUUAAUGCAAGUUUUAAGGCUGUGGUUGGAGAGAAGAAUCCUUCCAGAAUCCAUUAUUCGUUGUCAUAUCCGGGAACUGGACACCUAUCAUAGUUCAGCAGGUGUUUAUUCACGACGUAUGUUACCUGUUAGAGAAAUGGAGGGUAUGCUUGUUGACUAAUAUGGAAGCAACUCAAGUUUUCAGUUUCCUGGAUUUUGCAUGCCUCAAAUGCUUAAAGAUGAAGAAGGGAGUGAUUCUGAUAGGGGGAACUUUGAGGCCGUCACUCCCGAGCAAAAAAAAUUAAAAAAGGCUGGCCCUAUAAGCCAAGCCUUUAUUUUGGACCUAGAGGGGGCGAGUAGUGGCCUCGCCCCCAGUUCACACUUAGGGGCUUCUUUCAGGGUUAGUAUCACCUAUUUCUCCUCCGUCUUACUUUCUCCGUGCUAAACUUCUUGAUUUCCUGAAGUUCUUAAUCCUUUUAAUUUUAAUGUGAGUUUUUUUCUUUUUUUUUUUUAAAUCUUUGUUUGACUGUGCUUCUUAUGCUCUCUAUUUUUUGAACAAAGAAGCAUAGUUUUGAACUUUGAACUUAUCCAAAUCUGUAAAUUUGACUAAGACUUGAGUGGGUUUGGUUUAGUUAUAACUAAAGUUGGUCUUAAAGUUGUACUAUUUUAAAAUUUGAAAUAUUUUAUCUAAUGUGUAUUUGGGAUGAGAUUCAAAUUGUGUUUUCUAUAAUCUGAUUUUGUUAGUGUAGAAGUUCAAAUGACAGUAGCACUAAUAUGAUAAAAUUCUAGUUAGGCCCUCAAGUGGCAAGCAUAUAUAUAUAUAUAUAUAAAGAUUUAGAGUCUGUUUGGGUGAGUUUCUAAGAAAAGAUUUUUUCUUGAGUUAUUUUUUUUUAAAAGAUUUUAUGAAAAAGUAAAAGCAAUUUUAUGUUUGGGUAUCUCAUGCAAAAGAUUUUUUUAUCUUUCAAUUAUGUUCAUGUUCGGGUAUAACAAUAUAAAAGUAUUUUUUGUUUAUUUAUUACAUGAAAAAUAUCUUUUUUUUUAAGAGAAAAAGAUCUUUUAAAAAAAAUGUAAAUUACAACUUCUCAAAAAAGAUGUUUUUUAUUUUUUCAGUGCUUUUACUUUUACUACUAGAAAUUUGCCAAACAUGCUAAAAAUAAAAAAAGAUUUUUUUCAUUAAAAAAGAUCUUUUUUUAUUAAAAUAAUAGCGCCCAAACAAGCACUUAACACCCUUCAUUUUAAAAUGGGUUGCCCUUAGCACUAGGAUUAAGCUAUGACACUAAAACUACUCGUAUUAAGUCUUGCUAAAACUGCCCACAUUUCACUCUAAAUUUUGAAGUAUAUGAACAAAGAUUACAUUUUGGUUUGAUUUAUUAGUUUGUUAACUUUUAUGUUCUGUAAAUUGUUUGAUAAAAUGCUUUAAUGAAAAAAAUGCAAAUAUAUUGAUUCAUAAGUUGGAAAAAUUGACAUGUGUUUAGACUAGAUAAGUAUUUUAUGUUAUAUUUAUUUUACAUUUCACUCUAUAUAUUCAUGGAUAUGUGUUUGUGAUUCAAUUUUAAAGUAUACGGACAUGGAUUACAUUUUGGUUUGAUUUAUUAGUUUGUUAACUUUCAUGUUUGCAAAGAUCCUGAUUCAUAGAGACCUAGUGUUUACUUUGUUAGUUUAAUGUGCAAAUUUUAUUUUUAGCUGAUCUUAACUUGUAUUUUGGGGGCCAAAGAGUUAAAGUUCUUAUUUUUUAGUUGAUGUAUGUAGUUGUCAUAAUAAUUUUCUUAAGUUAAUAGAUGUGUUUUUGAGUUAAUUAAUUUUUUUGAUUCUUUGAUUGUUGUUGACAGUAACUAUUAAUUGUUGUUUUUGUUGAGGUAUGUUUUAUUGUUGUUAAAUUUUAUACUUAACUUUUGUACGAUUAAUCUUAUUCGGAAAUAAUUUUUUUGCUGGGCGAAACCGAAAGCAGUACAUAUUUCAGAAUGAAAAGUCGAAAUAUGUUUGUUAAGGCGUCGUAUAUGUUUCAAAGUCUUUCCAAAUACCACGGUGGUGGUUAUGUUUGAUCAUUUCCCACCUACGUGGGGUGUCUGAACACAGCUUAUGGUACCUGUGUUGCUGAAUGAGACUAAGAAUAACGUUGCUUGCUGAUGCCAUUUUGAGGCGUAGGCUAUACUUUAGUUUUCCGAACCAAAAUGGCAUCAGCAAGCAACGGACGCUCAUUAUUAUUGUAUUGUAGCGUUAUUAUUCUUAACCUCGUUCAGCAACGCGGGUACCAUUUGUGUGAUCGGGCACCCCACGUAGGUGGAAAAGGAUGAAGCGGACUCACCCACCGUGGUGUUUGGGAAGACUUUGAAACGUACUUAACAAAUAUAUUUCGACUUUUCAUUUUGAAUUAUGUGCUGCUUUUGGUUUCUCCCAACAAAAAAAUUAUUUUAGAAUAUGACCAAUAGUAUAAAGUUAAGUAUAAAAAUUAACAAUAAUGAAACAUAACUAACUCAAAAAAACAACAAUUAAUAGUCAUUUAGUGUUAACAACAAUAAAGAAAAUUAUUUAACGCAGAAAAUUAUUAUAACAAUUACAUACAUCAAUUAAGAAGUAAGAAUUUAACUUUUUAAUCCUAAAACACAAGCUAAGGUCAGUUAAAAACAAAAUUAAUUUUCACAUGAAACUAACAAAGUUAAUAUUGGGAUCUCUAUGAAUCAGUAUCUUUACAUUUUUCUAUUGGAUCAUUUUAUCAAAUAGUUUACAAACAUGAAUUACAAACUAAUAAAUCAAACCAAAAUGUAAUCUCUGUUUAUAUACUUCAAAAUUGAAUUUACAAACACAGAUCCAUGAAUAUAUAGAGUGAAAUAGGAGCAACAUAAAAUACUUAUCUAUAGUCUAUACAUAUUAAUUCUCCCAACUCUAAUGAACUUAAAAAUAAGUAUGUUUGUAUUUUUUCAUUGGAGUAUUUUAUCGAACAGUUUACAGACAUAAAAGUUAAACAAACUAAAAUGUAAUUUCUGUCCAUAUACUUCAAAAUUGAAUCACAAACACACAGAUGCAUUUAUAUAGAGUGAAUUGUGAGUAGUUUUAACAUAGCUUAAUCUAAUUGGCAAUCCGUUUUAAAAGCAAAAAGGAAUUGGAUAACUGAGUGAAGGGUGUUAAAUCUUUUUAUAUAUGCUUGCUAUUUGAGGGUCUAAUAAGGGUUUUAUCAUAUUAGUGCUACUAUUAUUUAAACUUUUACACUAACAAAAUUAUAUUAUAAAAAACACAACAAUUUGGAUCUCAUCCCAAUUAGACAUUAGACAAUAUUUUAAAAUGGUAAAACUUUAAGAUCAACUGUAGUUAUCAUUAAACCAAUCCCGGCUUAGUCAAAUUUUCAGAUUUGAACAAGUUCAAAACUAUGCUUCUCUCUCUUGUUAAAAAAAUUUAGAGUAUAAGAAACACAUUCAAACAAAGGUUAAAGAAAAAAAAUGGAAUAGGAAAGAAACUCACGUUAGAAGUAUUAAGAAUGAGAGGGAAAUCAAGAAUUCAACAAGACUCAAAUAAGGAGGAAUAGCGGAAGUAAGAAGAAGGAGAAAUGAGUGGUACUAAUCCUGUGAAGCUGUGACCCAUAAGGCAAGAAGCACGAGCAGAAUAGCCUAAGGAGAAGAGGAAUGGAUUUGUGCGUGACUAAGUGUGAACUGAUUCACCGGAUCAGAGUUAGGGUUUUUUUUUUCAAAUUUGGAUCUUAAUCUGGGUUCGGAUUCGGAUUUAGAACUGUUUGGAUUUUUUAUUUAAAAUUGAUUUUAUGGAUUUUUUUGCAUGCCCCUAAAUUCAACAUAUACAACUAAGAAAUAAAAGAUUUAUUAGAAUAGUAAUUUUAUGUAUUUUAUAUCACAAAGACUAUUUUUAGGAUUAAAAGAGAAAAAAGAGAGGAACUAAAAAAGUUUUAGGAAGCUAAACACGAGCAUCAUCCAUCUAUUAAUGUGAGGUGUGAAAGUUGGCACCAACUGAGUAUGCAAUUUCAUUACGUAUUAAAAUACAUUAAUAAUUAUAUGAAUUGCACUUUGAGUUCAUACUUUACAUAAAGUAUAGUUCUAUUAAUUCAUCUUUAACCGAACAUGAUACAUUUUGAGCAAGCAUAGUUCUAUUAAAUCUAUGCCUUAUUUUUGAGUUAUGCAUGCAAAAACUUUGUAGAGGUUAUACAGAAAGCUAGUGCCACAAAAGAUACUUUAUUAGCCUUCAGUAUAUACCAUUAACUUGAUCAACUAUGCUUCACCUACCUAAUCAAGUUCAUAUAAAAUCAGCUAUGCUUAUGGUUCACGCAUUCUAGAACAAUGAAGACGACCACGGAACUAAAAAAUUUAUAAAUCAACAUAUACAAUGUAAGAGCUUUGAUUAUUUAUGCAUUGGUUUGAGAAAUAAAGGAAC
Long non-coding RNA from Arachis stenosperma, 5031 nucleotides. RefSeq lists it as uncharacterized. The transcript has 5 exons. Lineage: Eukaryota; Viridiplantae; Streptophyta; Magnoliopsida; Fabales; Fabaceae. The record is from RefSeq and is a predicted model, not a curated record.